Molecule: non-coding RNA, 145 nt
Organism: Caenorhabditis elegans
Lineage: Eukaryota; Metazoa; Nematoda; Chromadorea; Rhabditida; Rhabditidae
Source: Ensembl
CCAAGAUCAGAGAAUGACCAGUUCUUUCUUGUUCACUAUCAACCGUUAUAAUUUCACAAGAGGAACUGUCAUUUUGAUUGAAAUGAUAUCAAACAACGAAUAAUCAACCAAUGAUUUUAAUAGCUAACCGACUGACCAGUUGAAU